This 411-nucleotide ribosomal RNA is filed under the name uncultured bacterium. Its description in RNAcentral is "bacterial SSU rRNA". It matches the Rfam family "Bacterial small subunit ribosomal RNA", at positions 505 to 916 of the family's 1533-position model. The record is from RNAcentral.
GUGUCAGCCGCCGCGGUAAAACGUAGGGGGCAAGCGUUAUCCGGAAUUACUGGGUGUAAAGGGUAUGUAGGCGGAUUUGUAAGUUGGGUGUAAAAACUCAGGGCUUAACCUUGAGCUUGUGUCCAAUACUGCAAGUCUAGAGAGCAGGAGAGGGAAGCGGAAUUCCCGGUGUAGGGGUAAAAUCCGUAGAUAUCGGGAGGAACACCAGUGGCGAAGGCGGCUUCCUAGACUGUCUCUGACGCUCAUGUACGAAAGCGUGGGGAGCAAACAGGAUUAGAUACCCUGGUAGUCCACGCCCUAAACGAUGGAUGCUUGGUGUUGGGGGGUAAUUCCCUCGGUGCCGGAGCUAACGCGUUAAGCAUCCCACCUGGGGAGUACGGCCGCAAGGUUGAAACUUAAAGGAAUUGGCGG